RNAcentral lists this long non-coding RNA (11682 nucleotides) under Homo sapiens (human). RNAcentral describes it as "non-protein coding LINC00982:22". Lineage: Eukaryota; Metazoa; Chordata; Mammalia; Primates; Hominidae. The record is from RNAcentral.
AGGUGACUAUCCCCCCACCCUGCCCCUGCGUCGCGGCGCGUCGCGCUGCUGCUCCCGCCCCAGCCGGGGCCGAAGAUGGGGCGGCGGCUGCGGUUUUCCACACGACUUCCUUGGAUCUCGGGGCACACGCGCCGAUAGUUCGGACGCGAGUCCGGGCUGGUUUUGCUCCGUUUUACUGCGUUUGAUUACUAAUUUAAAAGCUUUGCGUUCCCCGUCGCCCCGGCCCGCUUUUCUCCUGCAUUCUCCCCUCGGCCCCCGUCCCCGCCCUGCGAUCGCUGGAGGGGGCGUCGGGGCUCGCGCGCCAGAACCCGGCUCCUCCGAAGCCCCCUCCGGGCCCCACCGCCCCCCUCGCGCCUCCCGGCCCCCGCCUCCUCCCCUUCGCCCCCACCCAACGGCUGCUGCUUCGGGCUUCGCGGCUCAAAAACAACAGCGGAGGCGCCGCCAGCUCCGCGCUCCGCCACUGCCCAGGCCGGCGGGCGGCACUCGGACCCGCCGCCCUCGGUCCCUCGCGAGGCCACGGAGGCCAACACGCCUCGCACGGGGGGACAGCGCGGGGGCAGCCGUCCAAACACCAGGCGUCCUCGGCUGGUCGUCCCAGGGCGCCCGCACCUCUCCGCCCGCGCUCUCCUGCCGCCGCGCCCCCAAGCCCCCAAACUCCGAGGCGCUGCGGCGGAGGGGCCGGGCUGAGCGCAGGCAGGGUGGCCCGGGCCCAGGAGCCUGACGGCCUGAGUGCGGAUUUCUCAUCUGAGUAUCUGGGAAUCGAGAAUGAAUUGGAAGGAAACCGAGGCGCUGCCCUGGCCAGGUUGCUGCCCCGCACCCUUCCGGAGCACCGAAGUCCUGCCCGGCAACGGGACUUGGAGCUGCCGCAGAGUCAGCCUGAGCCCGAGGCAGGGGUCGCGCCCGCGAUGCGGGGUCUCUGCGCCGCCCCGCGAGGCUCCUGGCCUUGCCCUCCCUGCCCUUUGUUGUGUAAUAAGACCUGUGGCGGCUCCACUGAGACCCACACGUGCAACUCCGCGCCUCCGCGUUAAAGGAGGUGAAACGCAGCAGCCCUGAGAAACCCCGAGACCCCGGUGUCCUAGCAGAGGCGCCCCGGAUGGGGAGGGGCGCGGGGCCGGCGCCACCCCAGAGGAAAAGCCCAGCGGAGCCGGGUUGGGCAGGAGCUGGCGGCGGCGGUGCGCUGGGCCUUCUGCCUUGGAUCCUCCGCGGUCGGCACCGCUUCCCUGCUCAGAUUCGAACCCAGAUUCGGCUCCCAAGGCUCCCACGGCUCCAGGGUGCCCAGUCUUGCAGCCAGCUCGCCGCCCGAGCCCCGGAUGGAGGAAGCGCUCACUGGCCGCUACCUCUGCUGUUUCUGGCACCAGGUGAGUGUCGCCUAGAGAAGGGCCAUGAGCAAUGGCACAGCCCCAUUCCCUGCCGUCCUUUCGAGGGUCUAUCGACCCCUUUACCCACCCUCCCCACACCCUGACCAUCUUUCUACAGGGGUUGGGGCAGAGAACAGCUCAGUUUACAGGCCCGGCUCUGGAGGUCUUGAUCUGCCUAGCCAACUAGGGCACCGCUGCAGCUUUGCACCGCCAAGGCCGGUUCUGAACCUGCUCGCCCCAGUGGGUGGGAGGUGCUGGAGCCCAGGAACACGGGCGCUGUCUUGCCUAAACCCCGCCAAGGGCAGGUUCCCAACGGUGGGCCCAACCUGGCUGGAGCUGCUGGCUAGAAAGGACUCAAGGUCACUCCCAUAUCUCUGCACCCAGGUCCCCCUUGCUCCUGCCUGAAGCCUCUGCAGGUUUGGGAGGAGGCCUGGGGAAGUUACUAUGGUGCCUGCGAACCACUCCCACCUGCAGAGAGGGUCCCUUCCCCACCCUCACCCUGCAGCCCAGCAGAGGCCUCCUUUGCCCCUGGCCUGGAGGUAGCCAACAGAUGCCAAGGUUGUGCAGUCCUGGCCUUCUUCUACGGGUGCCCCAACUCUCUCAGGCCCUCUCCCUGCCUCCUCCUCCAGCUCAGGAGGUGGUUCUCAGAACCCUGGCCAGGCUAGGACAGGACAGCCAUCCCUGGCCUGUUGCCAGCCCCUAGGGAAGAAGGGCAGGAGGUAUGGGAGCAAGCUGGUCUGUGCCAUCUGGUCCUUGCCCUCCACCAGGCUGUUGGGUAGGGAUGGGGUCAUGGAUCUGCCUGGGAAGGGGUAGCUGCCGGUCAAGCCUCGCCAGGGAGACAGCCGGGCUGCCUACCUGCAAGGCACUGACGCAGCCCUGGCUCCAGUGGGGCAGUGUCUCCCGAGCCUGCUCGAGGAGCCCAGGCAGGCUGUCCCCAAGGCCAUGGCCCUGGCCGAGGUUGCAUCCUGGCCUGGCCAGGCCCUGCCCCCGCGUGGCCAGACUUAGAAGCGGAGAGCAGGUCAGGCAUUGAGGAGUCCCGUGGGGAAAAAGGGUGAAGCAGGGAAGAUCAGAUGCAAGUCCUCCCUGGGGCCCAGUUCUGUGUCCCUGCCUGGCAAGGGCUUUGGGGGGCUUGGAGAACAGGUAGGGCAAAUGUAGGCCCAGUGGGGAAAAGGUUGAUACUAAAAGGUCUAAGGGCAAUUUUCAAACCAAGUCUAGCUCUGCAGAGCCUUGAGGCUGAUGCCAGGCCCUGGGGCCCCUGCGCUGGGAUUGUAAGUGCUGUAAGCUCAUUCCUACUGACCUCCUUGGGUCGUCCAAGGACAGUGAGUGUGGGUUGGCCACAUAGAGGCUCCUACACUGGACAACUGCACGCUGCUGUCGAGUUCCAAAACCAAUUUCAUAGCUGGGGUCUUGGAGGCUAGAGCGGGGCUUUAACCACCAACUUCUGCUGGGGUCUGGGCAGAGAGGGAGUCCAUGGAAACUCGAUUUCUCCAUGAGCCCUGCAGACUCCCAGUGUUUCUAACGGCUGGAGACCCAUGACCAGGUUAAUUCCUUAGGGAAAAGGCCGGGUUUGAGAGCCAGAAAUGCUGGUCCUGCCGUGCUGGAGGAAGCAUCUUAUUAGCGAGUAGGAGGCCCCCAAGCCCCAGGGGUUCCCCAGAAGCCCAUUGAGUAGCAGAACUACCAUGCCGGCCUGCCCUCCACUCCCGGAAUCUACAAAUGCAUUCAAGGGCUAGAGGGCCCCUUCGCUUGGCCAGGCCUUGUGCCCCAUGCCAACUGGCAGGGUCAGAGCAGCCCCAGCUGCCCCUACCCCCAGCCCCUCAGGCCCCAGGGAGCCCUGCUUCGGGCCGUGUGUGCAGGACAGGAGGUAGGCAUGGCACCUGGCAAGAUGGACUCACCUCACCAGGUUCUUUCUCUCCCACUUUCUCUCCCCUCACCUCACCCCUUUCUCUCCCACUCCUCUGUGCUUUUUGAACUUAGCCAUGGGUUUUCAGAUACUUGGCCUCAGGCUCUAUUGAAUUCCAGGUCAAGGUUUUACUGACUCCACACCCCCACCUUGUUCCUCCGGGUAGCAAAGAAGCACACAGCCUCUGGUUUACCAACGGGCUUUCCUGGGAGAUUGGAAAUGCCCCAGGUGGGAUCCAGAUCGCCAGCGCUCACCCCACCCCCAAUACGUGGGCCACUGAGUCAGGCCAGGAUGAGGCUCUUGCUCCCCGGGCAUGUUCUCCUGCCCCAGACUUGAGCAGCAGGAGCCAGGAGACCACAGGGGCCCUUGGGGAUGGCUGACUUGGCUCCCACUAGACAGAGGGGAACAUGGAGGAGGGCUGCUUGGACCCUAUACCUCGCAGGGGACUCGAUGGGGGCUGAAUGCUGGAAGGAGCCUGCGUUUGGUCUAGAAUGGUGGGGGUGGGUGGGAGACACAAGUCAUGGAAAAGGCCAUUUCUUCCCUAUUGAGACCUCUGAAAUGACCCGAAGUGGGUGCUUCCUCCAGCAUCAUGCCUCAGCCGCACACUGGGGCUACAGGAAUCCCCCCAGACCCUGGGGUCAAUAUUUCGGGGCCCCUUUGAACCUUCUUCUCACCCGAGGCCUGGGAAACCUUCUUGUGCCCCAGAAUACUUGGAGAGGACAGGACACAGGUCCCAGUUGUGGCCCAGUGGUGGCAAGGUUCCAUUCCCUGCACUGCUCAAAGGUGGGGGCCUCCCAAAGCCGAUACCCGAUUCCUGGUCCCAGAGUGGGUAGCUGGGAGGAGUGGACUUCCUAGGAAUGUGAGCCAUGUCGCUGAUUUCGAACAAACCCCAGAUGUGUGGAAACUGACUUAUUUUGAUUGCAAGAGGGUCCUUGUCCCUUGCAGAUGGGCAGCUUCCGGGGACCGGCUUGCACGAUGCCGUGGCCACCCCAGUGGAGACCCUCUGCCCGGCUUUGUGUCCUGGCGUCCCCACCAGGGUGCCCAGCUCUCCUGCGCAGAUGUCGGGAGUAUCUGGAUGCCCCAUGGGCACUUCGAGGGCCCAAUCCGGAGUUUUUUGUUUUGUUUUGUUUUAAGAGAUUGAGACUGUGAACCUGAACUCCCUUGAUCUCCUCCCGUUGGGCCCAGGAGGGAGCCGAAUCCAGGCCCAACCGGGCUCACUGAGAAGGUGCAGGAAGCCCCCAACGACUCCUACUCGUGUGCGGCCCAUACUGGGCCAGGACGCUGCAGUGGCCGAGCCGCUGGGUGUCUGCAACGGGGAGCUCCCCCGCCGCUGGGGGCAAUAAACGGAAUCGGUUUCACACGCUUUCCCUCUUGAUCUAAGAACCUUUAAAAAUCCGCCAACGAAUGCUGUUGCCUGGAUGCGCUGCCUAUGACCUUCAGCCGUGUGUUCACGCGCGCCCGCAGCCGUGGAGUGGCGGUCCCUCCUGCCGCCCGCAACCCCGGGGCCGCCGGUCUGCGCACACCGGGAGCAACUUCGUUACCCACAGCGCCCGCGUCCUGCGGCUCGCGCGGAACUGCGCGCGGGAAGGUGGCAGAGCGACGCUCCAGAACGCUGCUUGCGUAGACGCUGCCGCUGCCUUCAGAUCCCAAUUCGGCCGCGCGCGGGCGGGGCCCUGGCAGCAACGAAAAUGGCGAGCCUCGUAGCCUUCCGGGCCCGGCGGCCACAUUCCGGGAGUCGCCAGGUGGGAGCCCGCCUUCCGUGUCCCCAAACGCCCAGAGCCCGGGACACGGGCCGGCGGCCGGGUCACCAAGCCAGUUCCCGGAAUCGGCUCGCGCCGGAAUCCAGACUCGGCUUGCAAAGCCCGCUCCUGCCGUCUCUCCGCAGCGCGCCCUGCCCCCCACUGCCGGCCCUCUUAGCUUCAAAACCAAAUUUUGCCUUUCAUCCUGAGAGAUUAAUACCCCGCAGGUGAAACCGUGGAGACGGAGCUGCGGUGGGUUUCUUUUCCACGCCUCAGUUUCCUCGUCUGUGAAAUGGGACCAGGCGCGCCUGUGCUUCUCCGGGAGUUUAUUGCAGGGCUGGCUGGAGAGAAUGGCUGGGUGGAAGCUGCCAGGAGGAGGCCCAAGGCCGCCCACCCCGUGGGCCUCGUUUGCUGAGCGGGGGUCAGAGGCGUGCGGGACAGGGCGCGCCCCACGGCGGCUCUGGAGGCGGCCCGGCCCGUCCCUGUCUCCUCCCCUCGCUCCCCCUCCCCCGGCCUUCCCGGAACUCUCCUCGCCCGCUGGGUGGAGGAGGGGCGAGGGCCGACUCCGCCGCCCCUGGGGUCUCCCUCCUCCCACCCCCACCGCAGAGUCUGGCCCGCCCUGGGCUUUCCUCUCAGGUCCCUUUGGGUCUCCAGAAGCCCGGAGGUUUCGCGCAGACUCGAACCUGAGAUGACACCACCCAGCACCCCAAAUCCUGCAGAGUGUGGAGGGGAUCUGGGGAGAAGGCAGGGGCUGCCCGGGCGCUCUGGCUGCUGGGGGUGGGGGACAGGGCCUGCCGGGGAAGCGGGUCGGGGGAGGACUGGAGACCCAGGCUCCCCUAGGUACAACGAACCUCGCGGGAGGGAAUACGCCAUCCCCGUACCCACUUCCGAGGACGUAGGUCUUUUGGCACCGGCGGCAGCCGCGUUCCCACACAUCUGGGCGGGGCCCCGCAGCAUGGCCUGGGGAGCUGAGGCUUCGGGAUCCGGCACAAACUACCAUUCUAGGUGUAGACGGAGGAGGUGGGGUGUGGGAAGCAGGGGGCCAUGGUCUGAGCAGACCUUCUCACCUCUGGGCCUCCCACCUCCUGGGGCAGGACUUACGGGGAAGGACCCGAGGGGAGUGGGGUGUCCAUAGGGACACCCAAGGGUCUAUCCCUGCGAGCUUUGCUUUCUACUAAACCAAUAAUCGCAGUGGUGGUGGCAGUCGAGACACGGCUCAAAGAGCCGGCAAGAAUAGAGCAGAGACCAGGAUCGCCCCAGGCAGGGAAAAAAUGACCAGUUCUGUAGAGUGACCCGAAGGUGAUGGAAUCACUCGGGCGUCCUCCUGGGAAAGAGCUGCCUGCUCCCCCGCCGCCGCCAGUACACCGGCGCCCAUGCCCCGGGGGCUGGAGAGAGCAGCCAGGCACAGGUAACUCAAGAACUCCAGUCCCCUCACGGGUGCCGUGCUGUGGGGCGCCCUCACCCCCACACUUUGGGUCCCUGGGCCUCCUCAUCAAAGCAGGGGCCUGAGUGGCAGGAACACCCCUGUGUGCAGAAUAGUGCCCCCUGCAGCCCCCACAGGUCACCUCUUUGAGGACCUAGGUGGGGCCUGCCCUGGGGACUGGGGUGAAGAGGGCAGGUCCAGCCUUCAGCAGCCCCUCCCCCAUGACUUCAGUGGAAUUACAAGGGGAACACCCAGGGCAGCUCCCGUAGGCUGCACAAGGGAAGAGGGGAGGGCUUCUACUGAGGUGAAACAGUGACCCACCCCUCCCACACCGUCAGCCUCCCUCCCCUCUCCACCCUUCAGUGCUGGGACCCCAGGGCCCAUAGACAGCUGGGGGAGUGGGGAGACAGGAGGAACUCAAGCUCAGCUUCUGCCUCCUGUCUCCUGGGACCCUCGGGCAGCCCCUCCAGCUUCCUGGGAGUCCAAUUUCCCAAGGUAGAACGGUGGCGGCAGAGCCUGGCCCUGUGGUGGGGCAGCUGCACCCCGAUGAGUGGCUUGCAGUUCCUGGAGCCCUGCAGGUUGUUGGAGAGGCAGGGAGCCCUUCUCCCUCCUGCCUGCCCUCUUGCACUUCCUCUCCCAGAACCCAGCACUACUCCCAGAGGCUCUGAGCUGGAGCCCUAGAAGGAGGCGCUGCAAGGCUCCGUGCUCCUGGAGCUUCGAGUCUAUGGUAUGAGUUAAACAGAAGGGUAUCUCCUCCAUCAGAUCUACAGGAGGGUGUCUGCUCCAUCAGACCUGGAGCUUCCAAGGCAUUUUACCCGAAGCUCCAGCACCUGGCCCAAGGCUGGGCUGUGCUGUGUCCUCAGUGAAAGAAUGGAUGAGUCACAGCUGAAUGACUGAAGAGCUGAACCAGGUCCAGAAAGACUCAGCCACUGGAGUCUGUAUUUCCUGAGUCGCCUCUCACUGCUGGAGCUGUUUAUCAUCGCUCCAACUUUCACUAAAAAGGAAAAACUAUCACUUAAACAAAGCCAUUGAAACCCCAGCAUCAUGUGUGGAUUUUUUAACAUAAAUAAAUCAUACAAACUAAGAUUUAUGUUCUUGGAAUGAUGUCAUUCAUUGAAGGCUGCCUUCCCAAUCAAAGCCGUGUUUAGUGAUUUUUCUUUAGUGGGUGUGCUUUUUGCUAAAUAGGAAAAACCCGUUCGGUCAUCCUUGCUGCUGUCUUUUCUCGGUUUGGCCCAGAACAUCAGAAAGGUUUCUCCCUGGGCCAGUCCACAGAGCCAAAUGGUGAAAAUGGUUUUAACUCCACAGACUGCUUUUAAAGCCUUUGCUUUGGAACCGUUAAGUCUGAGAUCAAAAGACUGUUAAACCUUCCCUAAGAAUGUGUGCAGGCCUCAGCAGAAGUUUAUGGUCCUCCCAGGUCUCCCAGAGCCUAGAAUGAAUCUCGCUGCAGAGUAACGCAUCUGCAGAAGCUUCACCAAAUUGAAAUGAGUGAGGAGCAUUAAAAUCAGCACACGUGGAUAAAUAACAGGUGGCAUAUCCAUGCAAUGGAAUACUAUGUCGCCAUGAAAAGGAAUGAAGAGCUGACGCUUGUUACAGCAUGAAUGAACCUGGAAAACAUGACGCUCCGUGAAAGAAGUCAGUCAUAAAAGGUCACGCUUUGUGUGAUUCCAUUUAUACGAGAUGUCCAGGAUGGGCCAAUCCAUAGAGACUGAAGACAUAUUAGUGGUUGCCUGGCUGUAGAAGUAGAGGCAGUAGUACUCUGGGCCAAUGAAGGCCCUGGGAACAGAUGGGCCACACCAGAGUCCAGCUUCAGCCCUCCAGGCAUUGAAAGGAGACCAUUAGCUGGAAGCCAGUGGGAAGUCGGGCUGACUAAUAGGGACAGGUGUCCAGGAGGCUGCAGUGUGAGGCUUUCAUUUGUUCAAGCAACACACAUUCACUGCACUCUUACCGUGUGCCAGGGACAGCCAUAGGCCCUGAGACUACAGCAGUGAUGGAGACAGACGCUGCUCCCAUCAAGGUCAUGUUUUGAUGGGGAAAGCAGCAAUAAGCCAAAUACAUAUGGGUCUGGGGUGCCAGGCUAGACGAUUCUAGUGCAAUGGACAUGAAAGAGGAGAGAGGUGAAGGCACAGUCUUCAAUCGGUUGUUCAAGAAAGGCCUCACUGAAGUGGUGACAUUUGGGCAGAGACGUCAGGGAGGGAUGAGGGAGCCACCCAAGUGUCUGGGAGAACAGCACUGGGGCAGAUGGAACAGCCAGUGCAAAGGCCCUGAGGCUCCAGUGACCAGUGUGGCUGCUGCAGAAGGACGGGGAGGGGAGGAGGGGAAAACCGUGUAGAGUGGCAGUGGGAGGACAGAUUAAGGCUGCAGGUGGAAUUAAAGUUGCUCUUUCAGCUGACUUUAAAGUAGGGAGACGAUUCCAGAUUAUCUGGGUGGCCUUAAUGUCAUCACGAGGAUCCUUAAAAGUGGAAGAGGGAGGCAGGAGAGUCAGGAUUAGGAUGAAGUGGAGAUAUGUGAGAAUAUGAGGAAGAUUCCCCUGGCUGUGCUGGCUCUGAAGACAGAGGAAGGGCCCACGAACCAAGUUACGUGAAUACGGACAGACUCUAGAAGCUAAAAAAGGCAAGGAAAUGGAUUCUAGAGCCUCCAGCAAGGAAGGCAGCCCUAUGCAUGCCUUGACUUUAGGACACUGAGAUCCAUUUCGGACUUCUGACCCACAAAACCAAAAUCUAGUAAGUGUGUGCUAUUUGAAGCUGCUAAAUUUGUAGUAAUUUGUUACAGCAGCCACCAGAAAUUAAUAUGGGGAGGAAAUAGGGAUUUCAUCUGUCCAUAGUAAAGACAUGCCGGGGGUGAUAAGAAUCUGAGCCCAUCUCACCUAGAUGAGAACGAGAGAGUAAUGACCACAGAAUAGUGGUGAUGGCCAUCCUCACAUCUGGCUCCUUAGCCACCCAUGCCAGUAUGGACUGACUGCCUUCUACGUCUUGUCCAUGGCCAUUCUCUAGGGAAAUUCCCUUGCAUCUCCUGCUACCUUUACAGACUACAUAUUUUGUUGGAUUACUUUCUCAUUUUCAUGAAGCAUAUCUUCUAGUAACUUCUGAUAAAAGAUGCAUAGGAGAUAAAUAUUUUAGGACUUCCACAGUACCAGAAUGAUGGAUGAACUGGGUAUAGAAUUCCAGAUUGGAGAUGAUUUUUUUGUUCAGAAUUUUAGAGAAUAUUGCCCCAUUGUCUUCUUGCUACCAGGCAGCUAUUGAGAAGUCUAGGAAGAUUCUGUUUCCUCGGACUUUGUGUGCAGUGUGAUUUUUCCUUUUUGGAAUUUUAUAGAAUCUUCUUUGUCCCAAGUGGUCCCAUAUUCCACAAUGAUGUGCCCUAGAAUGUGUCUGUUUUUAUCCACUGUGAGUUCUUUCCAACUGAGAACUUGUGUCCAUUAGCUCUGGGAAAUUUUCUUGAAAUACUUUCUUAGUGAUUUCUACUCUCUGUUUUGUUUCUUCUUCAUUUUUGAAACUUGAUAUUUAUAUGAGCUUUCUUCUGCACAUAUAAUCUGUGUGUCCACCAAAUGGCUUUGCUCUGUUUGUUUCAAUCUGUCUUUCCUGAGGCAUCUGCUGAUUCUUGGCUUUCUGCCCAUGAUGAGGAGCUGACUGGAAGUUCUGACAGUAAGAGAGGAGGGGUUCAUUGCCCUUGAGACCCAUGAAUGGGAGUGAUCCUUGAUCCUUGGAUGUCAGUAUCUUUAGGAACUGACCUGAUUCCCAGAGAAGUUACCCAGGGAGCAAGGGAGGGUCUGGCUGCCAGUCUUCUUGGAGUCAACUUGGAGUUGAAGGCAGGGGUCUUUGCAGUCAGCUGCCUGAAUUCUGGGAAAUAAACCUCUGGACUUUUGCUGGUGUGGGGGAGGGGUGGUCGCUCAGGGAGGAUAAGGAGGGGAUAGGAAUCCCCCUUUACUAAGCCAUCCUGAUCGUAGCCGCUCUUGCACCCCAAGUCCUAGAGGUACCCUUUUUUUUUGACGGAGUUUCACUCUUAUUGCCCAGGCUGGAGUGCAAUGGUGCGAUCUUGACUCACUGCAGCCUCUGCCUCCUGGGUUCAAAAAUUCUUCUGCCUCAGCCUCUAGAGUAGAUGCGAUUACGGGUGCCCACCACCAGGCCUGGCUAAUUUUUUUUGUAUUUUUAGUAGAGACAGGGUUUCACCAUGUUGGUCAGGCUGGUCUUGAACUCCUGACCUCAGGUGAUCCGCCCACCUUGGCCUCCCAAAAUGCUGGGAUUAUAGGCGUGAGCCACCACGCCUGGCCCCUAGAGGUAAUCUUAUACUCAGUCUUGAGUGUUAGGAUUCCCCUUGGUUAUAAAUCUGGUAAAAUCUCACCUUCCUGCUCUCUAUUCAGGAUUUUCUCUUGUCUCUGAUCCAAUUGCCACAGGUCCAUCAGCAAUUCAGCUUUCAGAAGGGAGGCCCACCCUUAUGGGUAGAUGCCUUUUGAAAUCUCUUUAUUGUGGUUGAAGUGGGGCUUACAGAGGGGACGCUAUUGAAUGGGUGUGUGUUUAGUUUGCCAUCUUAACCCGAGGCUUUUGUGGCUAUUUUAGAAAGACUGUGUCCAUUCUUAGGUCUAGGCCCGAUACCACACACAGUGUCCACACACAGGGGCUCUGACCCCACAGGGUUCUUUGGGUCCUGAUCAAUGAUCUUUCAAGAGCCUCCCCCUUGACCUGCUUCUGGCCACAGAAACAGCUGAUAAAUGAAAUUUGUUAGUUUCCUACAAUGGAGUGUUGCAUCAGCAGUGAACAUAGUGACAAGAGUGCAUGCUUAUCACCACGCUGACAUGUCCCUGAGACAUGGGGGCGACCUUUAAGAAUGUCAGCUGAAAUAUUAACAGCGGUUUUCCCUGGGUGAUUAGAUCUGAUAAUAUUAAAACUUUUUUCUCUGUUAUGUUUCUCUGCAUUUAAUUUUUCUCCACUGACUGUAUAUUAGUGGUGGAAGUGUUACAAUGUUUAAAAAUAAGAACAUCAAAAAAUUAGCCCAGGGUGGUGGUGGCAUGUUCCUGUGGUCCCAGCUACUCAGGAGGCUGAGGCAGGAGGAUCUCCUGAGCGCAGGAGGUAGAGGUUGCAGUGAGCCAAGAUCUCACCACUGCACCCCAGCCUGGGUGACAGAGUGAGAUCCUGUCUCAAAAAAUAAAAAUAAAAAUGAGAAGAAAAUCCUAUCUGUCCUUCAAUAACCAGCUCAGCCACUGCUACCUCCCGGGAGUCUCCCGUAUUCCCACUGUUGGGAAUGCUUCCUGCACCACAUUAAAUAAACUGC